Molecule: long non-coding RNA, 1078 nt
Organism: Aphis gossypii (cotton aphid)
Lineage: Eukaryota; Metazoa; Arthropoda; Insecta; Hemiptera; Aphididae
Exons: 4
Source: RefSeq, a predicted model, not a curated record
UUUACAUUAGAUUUUAUAACAAAUACCUAUUACCUAAAUUGAUAGUCCACUAUUUGGCAAACGUCUUUAAGUUAGCUGUAUACGAGUACCAGUUAGAAUUUUUAAAGAACGGUAAACAAGAAAAAAAGUAUAAUUUGUAAAGUAAGAACUUACUUCAAUCAAAAUAAUAAUUAAAAAAAAAUUUAUAAUUUGUUUACCGUAACCUAGGUACCUUUAAUAUUAUGAAAAAAUCAAAAAAAUCAGAAGUAAAUUCUAGCUAGUGUGGUGCUGAGAAAGUACUUACCAUAUACCAUUUUACUUUUUAAAUUGUUAAUAUUCAAUGUAAUGUUAUAUGUUCAGAUGUUCAUAGUUCAUUGUUCAUAAUUUAGUACUUACAUACCUACAAAUAAUUCUAUUAUGUCUAAUAAAAAGUUUAUAAAUGGUACUAUCGAAAAAUUAAAACACUCAAAAAAAUUAAUAAUUCCACUGCGUUCAUGGAAAAAAAAAGCAAUGGAAUUGGAUUUUAAUUAAAGAUUGGAGAUUAUAUCAUAUUUACGGUCAUACAUAGUAUUUCAAAUUUACACUUGGACAUAAAACGACACGUAAAAUAUAUUUGAUUAUUAUAUUAAUAGUUGUUAUUUUUACAACAGAAAACUAAUAGCGAUUGAUUCAUUUCGUUAUUUAUUAAUAUUCAAAUCAAAAUGUUUAUGAAUCAAAUAUCAGCUUGCGAUUCGGAACAAAUUUCGGCAUAUUGGUUUUUCGAUAUCAAUUUAAAUUUCGUUACAACUACACUAACUUUCAUGAAAAUGAAAAUGGGGACCUGUAACGAUGAUGCCAGAGGAUCACUGUUAUCCGAGUUUGAUGCCGCACUGGAGCGCCAGACAUAUGUGAUCUUAAUACAACGCUGAACAACCACCGUUUAGUGCUUGCUCGAUCAUCGACUUGAUGUUCGGUUGUUAAAGCCGGGAGGAUCAUCCACUGGUUACCAACACUAGGCGAUCUUAACGGAAUUGAACGCUGCAAGCGAUUACAAAUAUAUAGAUAUAAUAAAUAUAAAUAAAUAUAAAUAUAUAUAAUAUAUAUAUAACUCAGCUAUAAA